RNAcentral lists this ribosomal RNA (363 nucleotides) under uncultured bacterium. RNAcentral describes it as "bacterial SSU rRNA". It matches the Rfam family "Bacterial small subunit ribosomal RNA", at positions 72 to 422 of the family's 1533-position model. The record is from RNAcentral.
AAGCCCCGAAAGGGGUAAGUAGAGUGGCAAACGGGUGAGUAACGCGUGGGUGACCUGCCUUCGAGUGGGGGAUAACGUCUCGAAAGGGACGCUAAUACCGCAUGACAUCCUGCUUUUGAAAAAGCGGAGAUCAAAGCUGGGGAUCGCAAGACCCGGCGCUUGGAGAGGGGCCCGCGUCCGAUUAGCUAGUUGGUGGGGUAACGGCCUACCAAGGCGACGAUCGGUAGCCGGCCUGAGAGGGCGGACGGCCACACUGGGACUGAGACACGGCCCAGACUCCUACGGGAGGCAGCAGUGGGGAAUUGUUCGCAAUGGGCGCAAGCCUGACGACGCAACGCCGCGUGGAGGACGAAGAUCUUCGGG